Molecule: ribosomal RNA, 326 nt
Filed under: uncultured eukaryote
Lineage: Eukaryota
Description: partial 18S ribosomal RNA
Rfam family: Eukaryotic small subunit ribosomal RNA
Source: RNAcentral
CCCCUAGAUGUUCUGGGCCGCACGCGCGCUACACUGAACAGUUCAACAAGUCUUAACCUUGGCCGAUAGGUCUGGGUAAUCUCCAAAUUUCGUCGUGAUGGGGAUAGAUUAUUGCAAUUAUUAAUCUUCAACGAGGAAUGCCUAGUAAGCGCAAGUCAUCAGCUUGCGUUGAUUACGUCCCUGCCCUUUGUACACACCGCCCGUCGCUCCUACCGAUUGAAUGGUCCGGUGAAGCGUUCGGACCGUGGCCUUUGGACGGUUCGCCGUCUGUUGGCUGCGGGAAGUUCGUUAAACCUUAUCAUUUAGAGGAAGGAGAAGUCGUANCA